RNAcentral lists this ribosomal RNA (448 nucleotides) under uncultured organism. RNAcentral describes it as "partial 16S ribosomal RNA". It matches the Rfam family "Bacterial small subunit ribosomal RNA", at positions 332 to 797 of the family's 1533-position model. The record is from RNAcentral.
UACACUCCUGCGGGAGGCAGCAGUGGGGAAUAUUGGACAAUGGGCGCAAGCCUGAUCCAGCCAUGCCGCGUGAGUGAUGAAGGCCCUAGGGUUGUAAAGCUCUUUCACCGGUGAAGAUAAUGACGGUAACCGGAGAAGAAGCCCCGGCUAACUUCGUGCCAGCAGCCGCGGUAAUACGAAGGGGGCUAGCGUUGUUCGGAUUUACUGGGCGUAAAGCGCACGUAGGCGGACUAUUAAGUCAGGGGUGAAAUCCCGGGGCUCAACCCCGGAACUGCCUUUGAUACUGGUAGUCUUGAGUUCGAGAGAGGUGAGUGGAAUUCCGAGUGUAGAGGUGAAAUUCGUAGAUAUUCGGAGGAACACCAGUGGCGAAGGCGGCUCACUGGCUCGAUACUGACGCUGAGGUGCGAAAGCGUGGGGAGCAAACAGGAUUAGAUACCCCGGUAGUCCC